This 961-nucleotide ribosomal RNA is filed under the name Curtobacterium sp. TS1215T. RNAcentral's name for it is "bacterial SSU rRNA". It matches the Rfam family "Bacterial small subunit ribosomal RNA", at positions 545 to 1505 of the family's 1533-position model. Lineage: Bacteria; Bacillati; Actinomycetota; Actinomycetes; Micrococcales; Microbacteriaceae. The record is from RNAcentral.
UCGGAAUAUUGGGCGUAAAGAGCUCGUAGGCGGUUUGUCGCGUCUGCUGUGAAAUCCCGAGGCUCAACCUCGGGCUUGCAGUGGGUACGGGCAGACUAGAGUGCGGUAGGGGAGAUUGGAAUUCCUGGUGUAGCGGUGGAAUGCGCAGAUAUCAGGAGGAACACCGAUGGCGAAGGCAGAUCUCUGGGCCGUAACUGACGCUGAGGAGCGAAAGCAUGGGGAGCGAACAGGAUUAGAUACCCUGGUAGUCCAUGCCGUAAACGUUGGGCGCUAGAUGUAGGGACCUUUCCACGGUUUCUGUGUCGUAGCUAACGCAUUAAGCGCCCCGCCUGGGGAGUACGGCCGCAAGGCUAAAACUCAAAGGAAUUGACGGGGGCCCGCACAAGCGGCGGAGCAUGCGGAUUAAUUCGAUGCAACGCGAAGAACCUUACCAAGGCUUGACAUACACCGGAAACGGCCAGAGAUGGUCGCCCCCUUGUGGUCGGUGUACAGGUGGUGCAUGGUUGUCGUCAGCUCGUGUCGUGAGAUGUUGGGUUAAGUCCCGCAACGAGCGCAACCCUCGUUCUAUGUUGCCAGCGGGUUAUGCCGGGGACUCAUAGGAGACUGCCGGGGUCAACUCGGAGGAAGGUGGGGAUGACGUCAAAUCAUCAUGCCCCUUAUGUCUUGGGCUUCACGCAUGCUACAAUGGCCGGUACAAAGGGCUGCGAUACCGUAAGGUGGAGCGAAUCCCAAAAAGCCGGUCUCAGUUCGGAUUGAGGUCUGCAACUCGACCUCAUGAAGUCGGAGUCGCUAGUAAUCGCAGAUCAGCAACGCUGCGGUGAAUACGUUCCCGGGCCUUGUACACACCGCCCGUCAAGUCAUGAAAGUCGGUAACACCCGAAGCCGGUGGCCUAACCCUUGUGGAAGGAGCCGUCGACGGUGGGAUCGGUGAUAGGACUAAGUCGUACCAGGGUACCCGUAA